UCUCCUGCUCCCUCACUUCUUUCGUGUCUACUUAUUAUAACUUGUGCUGUUUUUCUCUUUUCUGCUCUUUAUUAGCUUGUGGUCAUUGCAGUUCAGAAAGAAAAAAAUGCUCACCCCAAAGUUGUUUAUACUAUUCUUUGCUUGUCUCCUAAUAAUUGCUCCCAAUUUAUCUCCCAACCCAAAUGGUGUGGAAGCUACUCAGGUUCUAACCAUCCAUAAAGGGUACACAAAGCGUCAAGUUUAUUCCACUCUGGGGCUCGUGUGCAAAUGCUGUGAUGGUAAAGGUGGCGAAUGUACAAGCACAUGGGAGGAUGAUGCUUGCUCCAACCUCGUGUGCAAACCAUGGAAGUAUUAGGGAUUGAGCUACUUAUAUACUAAGCUUAAUUCAUAAAUAAAUAAUAUCAAAAUUAAUAUAUAUGCCCCAUGCACUAUGAUCAUCAUGUAGUAGAAUUAUAAGUAAA
Molecule: long non-coding RNA, 461 nt
Organism: Glycine soja
Lineage: Eukaryota; Viridiplantae; Streptophyta; Magnoliopsida; Fabales; Fabaceae
Exons: 2
Source: RefSeq, a predicted model, not a curated record